GUUUUAACUUAAAACCCAUUGUAAACACAUUAUAUUGAUGACAUAGACUUCACACUGUGUGUGUCUAUUAAAUGAGUCUAUAAACUUCACUAACAGAGUUGCAGGGUGUUUAAGUUUGAAGAUACUGCCUGAUCCAUCGUUUCACAGAGAAAGAAGCUGAGGUUCAGAGGAGGUAAGUGACCUGCCUGACCAUACACAGCUCUAGUUUUAGAGCCCGGACUAGAGCCAUCUGGUGCCCUUUACAUCUAACUUCCUUAGAGAUGCAUUUACCAUGAAGCCACUAAAGCUUAAACUUCAGGGCCCCUCAAUUGCAGAGGCCUCUUCCAUGCCCCUUGCAGAACAUGAGCAAUGUGUUGCCAUGGCCAUAUAGGUUUUGUAAAAUCUGCAAAAGAAAGAUAUUUUAAACAGGAUCAGUUAAGAACACUCUCUUCCCAUUCUGACUUCCCCAUCACACUUCCCCCUCAUUUAAAGGAGCACUGGAGUGGCCAAGGAUAUUGAAUGUGUAUAACUUCAUAUUAUUUUUCCAAAAGAAGCCUCUACAAAACCUGGAUCCACCUCACCUGCAUUUAUAAUGUUAAUAAUACAUGUUAUUGAUUAUUCCAUGACCAUCCAUGAACCUGCUACUUAACGCAGGAAUUUAAACAUAACAAAAACUUACUUUAACUCUGAGUUCUGCCCCUCUCCCAUCCUCCCUCUCCCUCAGAGAUAGCCACUAUACUAAUUUUGUGUUUAUUGUCCCGUUGUCUUUUUGUUUUGUUUUGACACGUCAUUCGCUUUAAUAUAAAUACAUGUUUUGACUUGCACUGAACUUUGUGAAAGAAUAUUGUACUUGGUCUUCACUCAACAUAUUGUUGCAAGUAGUUGUGAUUCAAUCAUUUUCACUGCUGUUUAAUAUUCCAUUGUGUGAAUGUAUCAUAAUUAGUUUACUCAUUCUCCUGUCAAUGGGCAUUUGGGUUGUUUCAAAAAUUUUUGCUAUUUUGAAAGGUGCUGGUACAAAGAUUUUUGUAUAUAUUUUUGAAUAACCAUGUGCAAGAGUUUCCUUUGGGUAAAUACCUUGGAGUAGAAUUGCUGUUUCACAGAGUUUAAACAUGUUCACCUUUAUGAUAUAAUGUUAUGUUGUUUUCCAAAUCAUUUGGAACAAUAUACAAUGUAUGAGUGAUACAUUACAUAAGAGACCUAUUGUUUCAUCUCCUUUUCAAUACUUGAUAUUGUCAGGCUUCCUAUUUUCCCAAUUGUGUGGGUGUAGAAUGGUAUCUUUUUGCAGUCUGGCUUUCGAUUUCUUUAAUUACUAGUUAAGUUGUGCAUCUCUUCAUGUCAUUUGCAAUUCUUACAACAAUCUUGUAAGUUAGGGAUUAUCAUCACAAUGUGAUAGAUAUAGAAAAUAUGACACAGAGAGGUUAAGUAACAUAUCCAAGGUUACCCAGCUAGUAAGUGGUAGACCAAGGAUUCAUACUCAGUGUAAGCAAAGUUCUCACACCAAUUCUGUUAUAUUAACCACCUUAUUUCUUUGCUACAUAUGGUAUGGAAUAAAGAAUCUUGGAGAAGUUGCUGUUCCAGGUCUUGCAAGAUUGAAAACCUAAUCAUUGACAAGUUUUCAUGCUGUCGCCCCGGCUGGAGUGCAGUGGUACAAUCUUGGCUCAUUUCAACCUCUGCUUCCCAGGUUCAAGUAAUUCUCCUGUCUCAGCCUCCCAAGUAACUGGGAUUACAGACACGUGCCACCACACCCGGCUAAUUUUUGUAUUUUUAGUAGAGAUGGAGUUUCACCAUUUUGGCCAGGCUUGUCUCAAACUCAUGAAUCAAGUGAUCUGCCCGCCUUGGCCUCCCAAAGUGCUGGGAUUACAGGCAUGAGCCACCAUGCCUUCUAUUACAAAGAAAACCAAAUGAGCCAAAAUGCUGCUUGCUAAAUCCAACUGAGUAAUGAUUCCCCAUGAGAGGAUCAGUCAUUUUAACUGGGUGUGAAGAAGACUUCCCCAGUCAGAUGCACCACGAAGACGCUAGAAGGUGUGCAGAGGACAAACACCUUUCCUCCUUCCCAGCUGCCCUUGCGUUGAACCCAUCCCUAGUUUCAUUCGCCACCAUCAAAACUCUGGACUACGCAAAGAACUGGCCAUCCUAUGCAGUACACCUCCUUUCCAUUCCCUUUUAAUGGAGCAGUCUGGCUCCCCCAGGCCAGGGACAAAAGGACCAGGCCAGUGGCUGCUGGACAUCCUACCUGAAGGGAGCAUCACCCUCAUUCUCAGAAACAACCUAACACAGCAGGCAAACCAUCUAUAUAGUGCACUGUGCUCACUGGCAUGGGGACACAGCACAGGAGUCCUUCCAAUCCUGCCCCAGGUGGGGAUGCCCCUCUGGUCUACCUCAUCCCCAAGGAACUGGUGGGACCACUUUUCCCUUGAAGGCCUAGUCUGUCCACUCUGAAACCCACCACCUGAGGGUCUGGUCUCUGCUCACCAUUUCAACAACAGCCUCAUCUAGCCCCUGAUGCAGGCUAACUUGAAAUGCCCUCCUACUGAGGGACUGGCAGUGUCUCAAGUUCCCAGCCUACCCUGUCCCAGGGCAUUUAUAGUAGAGGAGGGGCAAUGCAGGGAGGAUCCUAUCUUGAAUCUCCUCCCUCCUCUCCAGUACCUUGAUUGCCCCUUAGGUAUUCCAAUGUGUCUCUUCCGCGCAUCCCACCCCAACCCCACCGUGUUCCUAAUAGGAGAGCUGCUCUUGGAUUCUAAAAUAUCAUUGUGAGGGGCUGGGUCUUCUUUGUCUGUGCUUUCCCAGAACUAGCAUGAAGACUGUCAAAGAGCAGAUGUUCAAUUCAUGUUUGGUGAAUGACAUAAUUCAGAUGUUUGUCCCUUCUAAAUGUCAUGUUGAGAUAUAAUUCCCAGUGUUGGAGGUAAGGCCUGGUGGGAGGUGUUUGGACCAUCAAGGAGGGUCCCUCAUGGCAUGGUGCUGCCCUGGCCAUAGUGAGCGACUUCCCCUAUCUCUGGUCAUUUGAAAGCAUGUGGCACCUCCCACCCCCGCUCUGCUUGGCUGUCUUUCCUCCCACUGUUGCCACGUGACAUGCCUGCACCACCUUCCCCUCCUGGCAUGAGGAAAAGCUCCCCAAGACCUCCCCAGAAGCAGUUGCUGGUGCCACGCUCAUAGCCUGGUGAACUGUGAGCAAGUCAACCUCUUUUCUUUAGCAAUUACCCAGUCUCAGGUAUGCCUUUAGAGCAACACAAGAACUGCCUAGCACAAGGAACAAAAGAGCCAGUGAGCAAGUGUUCUCCUUUAUGAUGAUUUAAUUUCUCCAACAUUCUUGAAUACACAUAGCAACUGUGAGUAUAUAGCUUUUCAUUUUAUCACAACAAAAGACUUAAAGAAAUAAGAUUUUUAAACGUCAAAGGUUGCCAAUCAAUCGACACUUUUUUCCCACCAUCUUGUGAUCCCAACUGAUGCAGUGUUCAGUUGUUUCACAGUUUAAAGCCAAUCGCUAUUCCAAUGCUAUUUCUUCUUGCACUAGAUCAUAAUCUAGUAAGUAAAAAUUUCCAAUUUGUUUUACAAAAUACAAGAACAUCACUCUUCAAUGUGAUAAACAGCAAUAAUUGUGUGAGGCACCUAAUUCAUGAACUUAGAUUCUGAAUCAAAGUCAAUCUCUUUCAAAGGAACACGCGGUAGACACAGAAGAGAAAGAGGAAUCUAUAAGUGGCUUGCAAAUAACCAGAACAAAAGAAAGACACGUCUUGGGCUCCCCACCUCACCCCCAAAUACUGAGAUGGUGGACAGGCUUUUCAAUCUCUUAGUGAGGAUUGCCUGAGACUUCACUA
RNAcentral lists this long non-coding RNA (3794 nucleotides) under Homo sapiens (human). RNAcentral's name for it is "HSALNT0280517". Lineage: Eukaryota; Metazoa; Chordata; Mammalia; Primates; Hominidae. The record is from RNAcentral.